This 594-nucleotide ribosomal RNA is filed under the name uncultured Pseudozyma. RNAcentral describes it as "LSU rRNA". It matches the Rfam family "Eukaryotic large subunit ribosomal RNA", at positions 81 to 657 of the family's 3401-position model. The record is from RNAcentral. Lineage: Eukaryota; Fungi; Basidiomycota; Ustilaginomycetes; Ustilaginales; Ustilaginaceae.
UAGUACGGCGAGUGAAGAGGGAAGAGCCCAAGAUUGAAAGCUGGCGUCUUCGGCGUCCGCAUUGUAAUCUCAAGAAGUGUUUUCCGCUUCGGACCAUGCCUAAGUCCCUUGGAAAAGGGCAUCAUAGAGGGUGAUAACCCCGUACAUGGCAUGGAGCGCCCGAAGCUUUGUGAUACGCUUUCUAAGAGUCGAGUUGUUUGGGAAUGCAGCUCAAAAUGGGUGGUAAAUGCCAUCUAAGGCUAAAUAUUGGGGAGAGACCGAUAGCGAACAAGUACAGUGAUGGAAAGAUGAAAAGAACUUUGAAAAGAGAGUUAAACAGUACGUGAAAUUGCCAAAAGGGAAGGGUAGGAGGUCAGAGAUGCGGCCUGGGAUUCAGCCUUGCUUUUGCUUGGUGUUUUUCCCAGAUUGCGGGCCAACGUCGGUUUUGGGCACUGGAGAAGGGUAGGAGGAACGUGGCACCUCUCGGGGUGUGUUAUAGCCUCCUACUGGAUACAGCGACCGAGACCGAGGACAGCAGCGUACUCGCAAGAGCGGGCCUUCGGGCACCUUUACGCUUAGGGCGUUGGCAUAAUGGCCCUCUACCACCCGUCUUGA